Molecule: ribosomal RNA, 441 nt
Filed under: uncultured bacterium
Lineage: Bacteria
Description: partial 16S ribosomal RNA
Rfam family: Bacterial small subunit ribosomal RNA
Source: RNAcentral
CCUCGGGAGGCAGCAGUGGGGAAUAUUGGGCAAUGGGCGCAAGCCUGACCCAGCAACGCCGCGUGAAGGAAGAAGGCUUUCGGGUUGUAUACUUCUUUUCUCAGGGACGAAGAAAGUGACGGUACCUGAGGAAUAAGCCACGGCUAACUACGUGCCAGCAGCCGGGGUAAUACGUGGGGGGCAAGCGUUAUACGGAUUUAUUGGGUGGAAAGGGAGUGUAGGCGGGAGGGAAAGUCAGAGGUGAAGACUCAGGGCUAAACCCUGAGCCUGCAUUUGAAACUGUGUAUCUUGGGUGCUGGAGAGGCAAUCGGAAUGCCGGGUGCAGCGGUGAAAUGCGUAGAUAUACGGAGGAACACCAGUGGCGAAGGCGGAUUGCUGGACAGUAACUGACGCUGAGGCGCGAGAGCGUGGGGAGCAAACAGGAUUAGAUACCCCUGUAGU